Molecule: long non-coding RNA, 651 nt
Organism: Mustela putorius furo (domestic ferret)
Lineage: Eukaryota; Metazoa; Chordata; Mammalia; Carnivora; Mustelidae
Source: Ensembl
CGGCGCUCCUGGACCGCCAGUCUUCUUGACCACUAAGGGCGAUGGCCCUGGGGCUGGUGAGCAGCUGUUGUCCAUCUCCCGGAGCCAAGCAGGGAGCUUAGCCUGCAGUAGACAGUCGUAUCUGGUAGGGCCCAAAAGGAAAACAGCCUGCUGGUUAUUGGGCUGCCGUGAAAACUUCAGCCCUGGAGGUCUCUCACAAACAGGAUAGAGUUUCAUCUCUCUGGAAUGUGUUAGGGUAGCAAGGCCUACCCGUCCUCUGCCCAGAUGAAAUCCAUCUUCCAUGAAGGACUGGGCCCCACGUCUGAGCUGCACAGAACUAUACAGAUCUCCACGAAUAGAACAUAGAGCUCCACUCAUGGCCGCCAAGGCCUUGAAUGACUAUCUUUCUCCAGGUCUGCUCAGCGGUUUUCGCUCCUGGGCUGAUGGACAAAUGCUGGGACUUUUUGAUCUGGGACUCUGACGGUGUCAUAGCAGAGGGAAAAGAGACGCCAUGACUCACUCACUGAUCCUCAGCACUUCUGUCUGGAAGUGACACCUGUCACUUCUGCUCACAUUUCAUUGGCCAAUGCAAGUCCUCUGGCUGAGCCUAAACUCUCCUGGGAGAGCAAAGGAUAAUUCUCCCCUGAUGACCAAAAAUAAAGUUUACCGCAG